GGUAGUCCAUGCUGUAAACGGUGGGCGUUAGGUGUGGGGACCGGUUUGGUUUNUGUGCCGUAGCUAACGCAUUAAGCGCCCCGCCUGGGGAGUACGGCCGCAAGGCUAAAACUCAAAGGAAUUGACGGGGGCCCGCACAAGCGGCGGAGCAUGUGGAUUAAUUCGAUGCAACGCGAAGAACCUUACCUGGGUUUGACAUGCACCAGACGGUUGUAGAGAUACGUACCUCCCUUUGUGGUUGGUGUGCAGGUGGUGCAUGGUUGUCGUCAGCUCGUGUCGUGAGAUGUUGGGUUAAGUCCCGCAACGAGCGCAACCCUUGUCUUAUGUUGCCAGCACUUUGGGUGGGGACUCAUGAGAGACUGCCGGGGUUAACUCGGAGGAAGGUGGGGAUGACGUCAAAUCAUCAUGCCCUUUAUGCCCAGGGCUUCACACAUGCUACAAUGGAUAGUACAACGCGCUGCGAGCCUGUGAGGGUGAGCGAAUCGCUGAAAGCUAAUCUCAGUUCGGAUUGGGGUCUGCAACUCGACCCCAUGAAGUCGGAGUCGCUAGUAAUCGCAGAUCAGCAAUGNUGCGGUGAAUACGUU
Molecule: ribosomal RNA, 584 nt
Filed under: uncultured bacterium
Lineage: Bacteria
Description: bacterial SSU rRNA
Rfam family: Bacterial small subunit ribosomal RNA
Source: RNAcentral